RNAcentral lists this ribosomal RNA (654 nucleotides) under uncultured Agaricomycetes. RNAcentral describes it as "eukaryotic LSU rRNA". The stretch from base 245 to 398 matches the Rfam family "5.8S ribosomal RNA". Lineage: Eukaryota; Fungi; Basidiomycota; Agaricomycetes. The record is from RNAcentral.
UAGAGGAAGUAAAAGUCGUAACAAGGUUUCCGUAGGUGAACCUGCGGAAGGAUCAUUAACGAGUUUUGAAAGGGGUUGUCGCUGGCCUUUCGCGAGGCAUGUGCACACUCUGCUCAUCCACUCUCAACCUCUGUGCACUUAUUGUAGGUCGGUGGAAGGCUCGCAAGAGCUGGAAGCCUGCUUAUGUUUUACUACAAACGCUUCAGUUAUAGAAUGUUUACUUGCGUAUAACGCAUUUAUAUACAACUUUCAGCAACGGAUCUCUUGGCUCUCGCAUCGAUGAAGAACGCAGCGAAAUGCGAUAAGUAAUGUGAAUUGCAGAAUUCAGUGAAUCAUCGAAUCUUUGAACGCACCUUGCGCUCCCUGGUAUUCCGGGGAGCACGCCCGUUUGAGUGUCAUGGUAUUCUCAACCUUCCUCACUUUUGUGACUGGAAGGCUUGGAUGUGGAGGUCGUGCGGGCUCUCGCGAGUCGGCUCCUCUGAAAUGCAUUAGCGUGAACGUUUACGGAUCGCUAUCAGUGUGAUAAUUAUCUGCGCUGUUAGUGUUGAAGUAUUGCUUAGUGUCGCGCUUCUAACCGUCCUUCAGUUGGACAACUUAUCUGACAUCUGGCCUCAAAUCGGGCGGGACUACCCGCUGAACUUAAGCAUAUCAAUA